RNAcentral lists this ribosomal RNA (217 nucleotides) under Providencia rettgeri. RNAcentral's name for it is "partial 16S ribosomal RNA". It matches the Rfam family "Bacterial small subunit ribosomal RNA", at positions 1317 to 1533 of the family's 1533-position model. Lineage: Bacteria; Pseudomonadati; Pseudomonadota; Gammaproteobacteria; Enterobacterales; Morganellaceae. The record is from RNAcentral.
CCCAUGAAGUCGGAAUCGCUAGUAAUCGUAGAUCAGAAUGCUACGGUGAAUACGUUCCCGGGCCUUGUACACACCGCCCGUCACACCAUGGGAGUGGGUUGCAAAAGAAGUAGGUAGCUUAACCUUCGGGAGGGCGCUUACCACUUUGUGAUUCAUGACUGGGGUGAAGUCGUAACAAGGUAACCGUAGGGGAACCUGCGGUUGGAUCACCUCCUUA